CCGCGUAGAGUCGCGUCGGUCGAAGUCUCGCUCCCUCGCGCAGCGGCAGAGAACGCGUUGUUCGACUUUCGAGGCGACGUACGCUAGAGUAUACAUGUCUUCAUUAUUGAUGCAAAACUUCCACGAUGGUUGAUCAUAACGAGAGAUUGUUAUUGGAGUUACUCAAGAAAAGUGGAAAUAAUGUGUGUGCCGAUUGUGGAGCUGAAGACCCGGACUGGGCGUCGUACAACCUGGGCAUCUUCAUCUGCAUGCGCUGCGCCAGCAUCCACCGCAGCAUGGGCGCCCACAUCAGUAAGGUGAAGCACCUGAAGCUGGACCGCUGGGAGGACUCCCAAGUGCAGCGCAUGAAGGAGGUGGGCAACUCGCAGGCCAAGGCCAAGUACGAGUACCGCGUGCCGCCCUGCUACCGGCGCCCGGUGCGGAACGACCCGCAAGUACUAAUCGAGCAGUGGAUCCGCGCGAAGUACGAACGCGAAGAGUUCUGCCACCCGGAGCGGCAGAGCUACGUGUCCGGCACCAUGGAGGGGUUCCUCAUGAAGCGAGGCAAGGAGGACAGCCGCUACCAGCUGCGCAAGUUCAUACUCAACGAGACUGACGACACGCUCAAAUACCACGUAAAGGAGCACAAAGAGCCCAAGGGCAUCCUGAAGCUUUCCGAGCUGAACGUUGCGUUCGCGCCGCAGAAGAUCGGGCACAUGAACUCCAUGCAGCUGACCUUCCUCAAGGACGGCACCACGCGGCACAUCUACGUGUACCACGAGGACCCGGAGGUCAUUAAUUGCUGGUACAUGGCGAUACGAUGCGCCAAGCUCCACCAGCUGCAAGUGGCUUUCCCCGCCGCGUCAGAGUCAGAGUUACUCUUACGGCUUCCCAAAGACUUCGCGAGAGAAGGCUGGCUGUGGAAGACCGGGCCUAGAGCGUCUGACGCGCAUAGGAGAAGAUGGUUCACGCUCGAUAACAGAAAACUCAUGUACCAUGAUGAGCCAUUAGAUGCGUACCCGAAAGGAGAAAUUUAUUUGGGUCACGAAUCGAACGGCUACCUAAUAAAGGUGUCCAACACCGGCAACGGCUGCAAGGAGGCGCGCUUCCCCUUCCACGUGGUGACCCCGGAGCGGACGUACUGCCUCGCCGCCAUGACGCACGAGGACCGCGCCGGCUGGCUCGCCGUCAUACAGCAGACGCUCAAGCGACCGCUCACACCGCAAGACUCUACCAGUAAGUACCUUCCACGUGGUGACCCCGGAGCGGACGUACUGCCUCGCCGCCAUGACGCACGAGGACCGCGCCGGCUGGCUCGCCGUCAUACAGCAGACGCUCAAGCGACCGCUCACACCGCAAGACUCUACCAGUAAGUACCUUCCACGUGGUGACCCCGGAGCGGACGUACUGCCUCGCCGCCAUGACGCACGAGGACCGCGCCGGCUGGCUCGCCGUCAUACAGCAGACGCUCAAGCGACCGCUCACACCGCAAGACUCUACCAGUAAGUACCUUCCACGUGGUGACCCCGGAGCGGACGUACUGCCUCGCCGCCAUGACGCACGAGGACCGCGCCGGCUGGCUCGCUGUCAUACAGCAGACGCUCAAGCGACCGCUCACACCGCAAGACUCUACCAGUAAGUACCUUCCACGUGGUGACCCCGGAGCGGACGUACUGCCUCGCCGCCAUGACGCACGAGGACCGCGCCGGCUGGCUCGCCGUCAUACAGCAGACGCUCAAGCGACCGCUCACACCGCAAGACUCUACCAGUAAGUACCUUCCACGUGGUGACCCCGGAGCGGACGUACUGCCUCGCCGCCAUGACGCACGAGGACCGCGCCGGCUGGCUCGCCGUCAUACAGCAGACGCUCAAGCGACCGCUCACACCGCAAGACUCUACCAGUAAGUACCUUCCACGUGGUGACCCCGGAGCGGACGUACUGCCUCGCCGCCAUGACGCACGAGGACCGCGCCGGCUGGCUCGCCGUCAUACAGCAGACGCUCAAGCGACCGCUCACACCGCAAGACUCUACCAGUAAGUACCUUCCACGUGGUGACCCCGGAGCGGACGUACUGCCUCGCCGCCAUGACGCACGAGGACCGCGCCGGCUGGCUCGCCGUCAUACAGCAGACGCUCAAGCGACCGCUCACACCGCAAGACUCUACCAGUAAGUACCUUCCACGUGGUGACCCCGGAGCGGACGUACUGCCUCGCCGCCAUGACGCACGAGGACCGCGCCGGCUGGCUCGCCGUCAUACAGCAGACGCUCAAGCGACCGCUCACACCGCAAGACUCUACCAGUAAGUACCUUCCACGUGGUGACCCCGGAGCGGACGUACUGGCUCGCCGCCAUGACGCACGAGGACCGCGCCGGCUGGCUCGCCGUCAUACAGCAGACGCUCAAGCGACCGCUCACACCGCAAGACUCUACCAGUAAGUACCUUCCACGUGGUGACCCCGGAGCGGACGUACUGCCUCGCCGCCAUGACGCACGAGGACCGCGCCGGCUGGCUCGCCGUCAUACAGCAGACGCUCAAGCGACCGCUCACACCGCAAGACUCUACCAUGGAAGCCACCCUCGUCAGAAAGCGGACAACGUCAAAUUCAAUAAGCAUAUUCUCAGGAAGGUAGUUGUUGUUUUGGCUUAGAGCAAACUUAAAUUUUAUUAGGAUUACAUUAUUCAAGUAAGUAGAAUUUACAUUAAAAUAAUGCCAAUCAUUAAUUAUAUCGCCUUAGCGCCAUCGCAACGCUGCUAUUUUACCACAUAUUUUAAUAAAUUCUUGUAAUUAUAAUAUACCUAAAUGAUAUCACUAGCGCAUAUUAGAAAUAAACUUAUUUCAGUGUAUUAGAUAAUUAUGAAUUGAAGUUAAAACAUACAAUUUACUUUACUUAUUUUUAUUUAUACUUACCUAAUACUUAUAUAAAUGUAUCUAAGCAUGAAUUUAAAAUCAAAUAUUUAUACGUAGGCAAAGGUAAAGGGGAGUAAACUCAUUGAUAAGUAUACUUACAUACAUAUUUUAAAAUAUUGUAUUUUUUGCUUAAAAUGGACUAAGGACCUAAGUACUUUUAUUUCAAAAAAUAUCUAUCAAUCUAUUAUAUAUAUUAUGUAAUGAAUUUUACAAACAGAUAAUCCAGUUGACACAACUGCCCGACAGUGUAGUUUUAAGUGUAAAUAAUUUAUUGUAUUUAAAGUUAAAAUUAUGGAAUAAUUUGCUUUUAAAGUAUUUUAGCUGGUAGAGCUAUUUAUUGUUAUCAUAAUUUUUCAGAUAUUGCUUAGAUCGUCGAUAAAUUAAUAUAAUUAAAUCUAUACAUAUACAGGGAACUCAUAUGCACUAAUAACAUUUCAAAAUUUUCCUACUUUAAAAUACAUAGGUACGAUACCUAGCAACCAUUUUUAUGAGUAAUAAACAUAUUUAAGCAUUGGUUGAUCUACAUAAAGGUUCUGUGUAAUGUACUUAUGUAAUAAAUAAGUAUGAGCAUCUUUACAGAAUAUAAGCAAUAUACUUGCCUAAUUACUUAUGAUGAUCAAAUAUGUAUUUCUUUUAAUACCUACUACUUAUAAGUAGGUAUGAGACAACCUACAUUGAACUAAAAAUAUGCCUGGGUCCUAAUUUAUACGAAGAUCUUAGCAUUUUAUACAUAGAAUAAGUAUAAGCAGUGCCGAGUGGUACAAUUUAUGCAAAUAACAAUGCAAUAAUAAAAAUAAAGUAGGUAAACACGCUGUGAAACAGCUGUAAGAAUGCUUUUGUAAAUAGGUAAUUUAGUCUAAAAUCUUAGUGCAUGCUUUAAAAUAUUUUAUACUGAUUUAGGUGUUGUAUAAUGUAGGUAUCCAAAUAUCCAAGAAAAUAUUCAGAUGUUUUACCUUUGUAUUUUUUAAAAGUUUCUCAUCUUAUAUUAGGUACCUACCAACAGCCAUUUUAUGUUUGCAAAAUCUCUAAUUACCUAGUACGUACCUUAAUAAAGAUACCAUAUAAAGCUACCCAUACUAUUACAAACAAAUAUGUAAUUUCAUAACUAAUAUAAAUGUACUUAUCCAUAAAUAUAGCUUCUAAAACAAACAAAUGUA
Plutella xylostella (diamondback moth) is the source of this 4045-nucleotide non-coding RNA. The record is from RefSeq and is a predicted model, not a curated record. NCBI's taxonomy places the organism in Eukaryota, Metazoa, Arthropoda, Insecta, Lepidoptera, Plutellidae.